UACGAAGGGGGCUAGCGUUGUUCGGAAUUACUGGGCGUAAAGCGCGCGCAGGCGGCUAUCCAAGUCAGUGGUGAAAGCCCGGAGCUCAACUCCGGAACUGCCAUUGAAACUGUUUAGCUUGAGGAUGAGAGAGGUGAGUGGAAUUCCCAGUGUAGAGGUGAAAUUCGUAGAUAUUGGGAAGAACCCCGGUGGCCAAGGCGGCGACCUGGUCCUUGACUGACGCUGAGGCGCGAAAGCGUGGGGAGCAAACAGG
RNAcentral lists this ribosomal RNA (253 nucleotides) under uncultured bacterium. Its description in RNAcentral is "partial 16S ribosomal RNA". It matches the Rfam family "Bacterial small subunit ribosomal RNA", at positions 524 to 776 of the family's 1533-position model. The record is from RNAcentral.